Molecule: non-coding RNA, 113 nt
Organism: Eumeta japonica
Lineage: Eukaryota; Metazoa; Arthropoda; Insecta; Lepidoptera; Psychidae
Source: the annotation of a GenBank genome assembly
ACGAUCAUACCACGUAGGAUACGCUAAUUCUAGUUCGAUCAUCGAAGUUGCCCAAGCAGCUUCAGGCACGAUUUGUAUUUGGAUGGGUUACCGCCUGGGAACAGCCCGUAAUG